This 212-nucleotide long non-coding RNA is filed under the name Elaeis guineensis (African oil palm). RNAcentral's name for it is "long non-coding RNA (EGUI_LNC048050)". The record is from RNAcentral. Lineage: Eukaryota; Viridiplantae; Streptophyta; Magnoliopsida; Arecales; Arecaceae.
GGUUGUUCAAAUAUGAAAUGUGCUGAGCUAAACCAAAUUAGUCAUUACAUCAGAUGUAUGUGACUAAUUAAAAGAGAUCUAAAUCCAUAUUUUCUCACUAAAUAUUAAAUCUACUGGUCUUCCACCAUUGUAGAGAUGCGGGUGCCUUUUCGGCGUUGAUCGUUUUUGACUGGUUAUAGUGGUUCGAUUGCAUCGGAAAGAUACAAUCACUC